RNAcentral lists this ribosomal RNA (253 nucleotides) under uncultured bacterium. Its description in RNAcentral is "partial 16S ribosomal RNA". It matches the Rfam family "Bacterial small subunit ribosomal RNA", at positions 524 to 776 of the family's 1533-position model. The record is from RNAcentral.
UACGUAGGUGGCAAGCGUUGUCCGGAUUUACUGGGCGUAAAGAGCGCGCAGGCGGUCGUCCAAGUCGCGUGUGAAAGCCCCCGGCUCAACUGGGGAGGGUCACGCGAUACUGAUCGACUCGAAGGCAGGAGAGGGUAGUGGAAUUCCAGGUGUAGCGGUGAAAUGCGUAGAUAUCUGGAGGAAUACCGGUGGCGAAGGCGGCAUCCUGGACCGGCAUUGACGCUGAUGAGCGAAAGCUAGGGGAGCAAACGGG